This 452-nucleotide ribosomal RNA is filed under the name uncultured bacterium. RNAcentral's name for it is "bacterial SSU rRNA". It matches the Rfam family "Bacterial small subunit ribosomal RNA", at positions 355 to 825 of the family's 1533-position model. The record is from RNAcentral.
UGGGGAAUAUUGCACAAUGGGCGCAAGCCUGAUGCAGCAACGCCGCGUGGGGGAUGACGGCCUUCGGGUUGUAAACCUCUUUUAGUAGGGAAGAAGCGCAAGUGACGGUACCUGCAGAAAAAGCACCGGCUAACUACGUGCCAGCAGCCGCGGUAAUACGUAGGGUGCAAGCGUUGUCCGGAUUUAUUGGGCGUAAAGAGCUCGUAGGCGGUUUGUCGCGUCUGCUGUGAAAGCCCGAGGCUCAACCUCGGGUCUGCAGUGGGUACGGGCAGGCUAGAGUGCGGUAGGGGAGAUUGGAAUUCCUGGUGUAGCGGUGGAAUGCGCAGAUAUCAGGAGGAACACCGAUGGCGAAGGCAGAUCUCUGGGCCGUUACUGACGCUGAGGAGCGAAAGCAUGGGGAGCGAACAGGAUUAGAUACCCCUGUAGUCCCUGAGCGGGCUGGCAAGGCGCAU